AUCCCUUCCUGCUUGAAGGCUUCCAAAGGUGUGGAAACCAUGAAUAGAACUCAGCUGUGUCCAAUCUGAAAAUAAAACUAAAAAGUAUUUGCAUCAGGCUCCUUCCUGCUUACAGGAAGCAUCCCACAGACUGGGAAUGGGCACUCAGAAAGCAGGAGGUGAAGAAAAUGACCCACUAUUUGAGCAAGCCAUCAAUGAAGUAAUGCUCUUGUAAUUCUGGAAACCAGAAGGGACCCGUUGAACAGGUACAUCUAUCUCUGAGAGCAGAACUCAAUGUUGAGAAGCAAAAGUUGCUCAUAUAAUGACAGGGACAAUCUCUCUCUACCACCAGUCAUCUGGGACAACGUCAUGGUCCCCUUGGUACCGAUCAGCUUGAGCCAGAUUUGGAAUGCUCAUUUGCACAGAUGCUGGCCCAUAGGCCUACUACUAAUUUCAGCUGGAUCAGUUACCCUGCACUGGUAGAGUCAAACUCAGUUAUAACUGAACUGAUUCUAACUGAAUGACAAAAGUGCUCUUUAUUAUC
Meleagris gallopavo (turkey) is the source of this 523-nucleotide non-coding RNA. NCBI's taxonomy places the organism in Eukaryota, Metazoa, Chordata, Aves, Galliformes, Phasianidae. The record is from RefSeq and is a predicted model, not a curated record.